UACGUAGGGGGCAAGCGUUGUCCGGAUUUAUUGGGCGUAAAGAGCGUGUAGGCGGCCAUACAGGUCAGCUGUGAAAACUCGAGGCUCAACCUCGAGACGUCGGUUGAAACCGUAUGGCUAGAGUCCGGAAGAGGAGAGUGGAAUUCCCGGUGUAGCGGUGAAAUGCGUAGAUAUCGGAAGGAACACCUGUGGCGAAAGCGGCUCACUGGACCAUUACUGACGCUGAGGCACGAAAGCUAGGGGAGCAAACAGG
RNAcentral lists this ribosomal RNA (253 nucleotides) under uncultured bacterium. Its description in RNAcentral is "partial 16S ribosomal RNA". It matches the Rfam family "Bacterial small subunit ribosomal RNA", at positions 524 to 776 of the family's 1533-position model. The record is from RNAcentral.